Molecule: long non-coding RNA, 966 nt
Organism: Fukomys damarensis (Damara mole-rat)
Lineage: Eukaryota; Metazoa; Chordata; Mammalia; Rodentia; Bathyergidae
Exons: 3
Source: RefSeq, a predicted model, not a curated record
CUCUAGACCUUGCACUUGUGAGGCAGGCAAUGGAACCACUGAGGUAAAUUGCUGGUCCUGGAAGCUGUUUUUACAUUGUCUUCCACCUUGAUGCUGUGGGUGCCGUCAUUGCCAGUCGCUGCCAUCACGACUCCUGAUCCUCGGCACACGGGCUCUUUCCAUUCUCUGCGAUAAUUUUAAUUUCCAGGAGCACUUCCUUUCCCCUGAGAGCUCCUCUUCACAACAUCUCACUCCUGACCCCAAGUCGCCCAGCUUCUCUUUCUCUGAUUAAAUUCGCUGUGGCUAUCAGUGUACCCAUCAUGGUCCACGUAUCAGGCUCAGCAGCCUUUCCGGAACACCUGAGUACCGCUGGUCGGCAAGCUUGGAGGAGAAGCACUGUAGGGCUCACAGGAAGCUCAGCGUGGUGGGUGCACGAGGCCCCGAGCUCAAUGCCGUCAUUGGCUUCCGGUCUGUUGUUGCAUCAUGGCUGAGAGCGCAGGGGGGCCACAGUGACACUUCCUCCUCCACUUCCUCUGUGCCUUUCAUGACAACCAAGGUGAUUGUCACAGUCAACCAUGUACCCACUUGUGAAAGGUCAGGGGACAGCAGGGACGCCGAGCCUGACCCCUGUGAGGUGCUGAUCCAACACCAAUGAUCCCCGGAGGCUUCUCUACGGGGGAGAAAAAUAAAUUCCGCUUUUCCAACCACCUUAAAUCUGUAGUUUUCUUUUGACUUCUAGCCAAGGAUAUUCCAAAUUGCAUCCUUUUAACUUUCUGGGAAAAUAUAAUAGAAAAUCGGACAUUUUCUUUGUCUCAAAGUUGCCAAAAUGGAGAAGGACAAAACUGCAGUCUUCUUACUGUACCUGUUGCUGACAUCACUUAUCUCUGGUGGGGGCCAUGGACCCUGCCAGAGGGCUCUAAACUUUGGUCAUCACAGGAGACCCACCCAAGGAGUCCCUAAGGGCUGGACCAGCGAUGGGAAGAUGAA